AUAGCUCAAAAUGAUAUUCUAAACCGGCUUAUGUAGGAAAUAUUAUUACAAAAUGCUCAAAUGUAGAAUCAUAGCCAUCUGUCUUGUCCUCAAUCAUCUGAAAAUUUUCCCAACUCUACUUUGAGAGAAGGAAAUCUACUCGAGUUGGGAGUUGAGAAAGCGCAUCUUCUCGGCAUCACGAACACAUGGCUGUGAUAUUGUUAAGUUGAUUUGACUCCUGUAGUAAGCAUGCCGUCCUCUCUGCGGUGGUGAGCGUCGUUAAAAAGGGGUGAAUCUCCACCCCCUUGCCAUCAUGCUGUGGAAGGUUUGAGCACACGGUCUCUCUCCUACCACCACCUCUGGCCUUCAAGAACCAUAUGUCUUCUUGUUCUGGUUCCUUCACCUCAGGGAUGUCGAGGUCCCGCCGUUGGAACGACUCCGGCGAGCUUGAUGUCUUCGAGGCAGCACUAUACUUUUCUGGCGAGGUUACUGAUGUAGAUCUUGGACUUCAAAGAGCCUGGAGAACUGAGAGGAGGGGUUCGGAUACACCCACGGAAGCCACACUCUUCCAUCAGCCCCGAAAGGUUGAGAGUCAAUUCAAAGACAAGAAGCACAAGCAACCCUGCUCCCCUGGUGGCAAGUUGGCCAACCUUGUGAGCUCCUUCUUCCACCAAGCAGCUUCAAAGAAGAAAUCAAAGGCUGUCUCCCCUUCGCAGUCAUUUAAGGAGGAGUACGCGGAGAGGCUCGCAAGGAGGAGGAGAAACAGCAUCAACCAUCCACAGAUCAUGAGAGCUCGGAGCGAGAGAAUUGGUAUGAUAAGAGGGUGGCGGGUGCGUUUCUGUUGGCCGAGAGAUCGAAGCUCAUUACUGAUGGGUUUGCCGGGAACACAUGGGUUGAGAAGGGAAGCUGUCGCAUGCUACAUAACAGGGAGGCUCAUCAGUGGGCUGAGGCGUUCAUAGAAAAGGAAGACAAGUGUAGGAGAAGAGAGGAGGAGGAGGAAGAGGACGAUGGGGGGAGUGAUUCCAGCUCAGACCUGUUUGAGCUGAAGAGCUAUGACUUGGUGUUUUGAUAGCUCAAGCGGACUUCGUUUCACUUUGUUGUUGAAACCAUUUUCUGUUCUAUGGAUUGUCUCUAUGUUGGAUUUCUUUA
Long non-coding RNA from Musa acuminata AAA Group (dessert banana), 1128 nucleotides. RefSeq lists it as uncharacterized. The record is from RefSeq and is a predicted model, not a curated record. Lineage: Eukaryota; Viridiplantae; Streptophyta; Magnoliopsida; Zingiberales; Musaceae. The transcript has 2 exons.